Molecule: ribosomal RNA, 80 nt
Filed under: uncultured archaeon
Lineage: Archaea
Description: partial 16S ribosomal RNA
Rfam family: Archaeal small subunit ribosomal RNA
Source: RNAcentral
CCUAUGGGGCGCAGCAGGCGCGAAAACUCCGCAAUGCGCGCAAGCGUGACGGGGGGACCCCAAGUGCCGANUGUCUUAUG